UACGUAGGUGGCAAGCGUUGUCCGGAAUUACUGGGUGUAAAGGGCGUGUAGGCGGGGAUGCAAGUCAGAUGUGAAAUUCCGAAGCUCAACUUCGGCGCUGCAUCUGAAACUGUAUCUCUUGAGUGCUGGAGAGGAAAGCGGAAUUCCUAGUGUAGCGGUGAAAUGCGUAGAUAUUAGGAGGAACACCAGUGGCGAAGGCGGCUUUCUGGACAGUAACUGACGCUGAGGCGCGAAAGCGUGGGGAGCGAACAGG
Molecule: ribosomal RNA, 253 nt
Filed under: uncultured prokaryote
Description: partial 16S ribosomal RNA
Rfam family: Bacterial small subunit ribosomal RNA
Source: RNAcentral